This 565-nucleotide ribosomal RNA is filed under the name Exserohilum turcicum. RNAcentral describes it as "eukaryotic LSU rRNA". The stretch from base 161 to 314 matches the Rfam family "5.8S ribosomal RNA". The record is from RNAcentral. Lineage: Eukaryota; Fungi; Ascomycota; Dothideomycetes; Pleosporales; Pleosporaceae.
AAUGAGGUAGGGUACUGGCAACAGUGCUCUGCUGAAAUAUUUUCACCCAUGUCUUUUGCGCACUUUUUGUUUCCUGGGCGAGUUUGCUCGCCACCAGGACCCCCAUAUGAACCUUUUUUGUUUUUGCACUCAGCGUCAGUACAAUAAUUUAAUCUAUUAAAACUUUCAACAACGGAUCUCUUGGUUCUGGCAUCGAUGAAGAACGCAGCGAAAUGCGAUACGUAGUGUGAAUUGCAGAAUUCAGUGAAUCAUCGAAUCUUUGAACGCACAUUGCGCCCUUUGGUAUUCCAAAGGGCAUGCCUGUUCGAGCGUCAUUUGUACCCUCAAGCUUUGCUUGGUGUUGGGCGUCUUAUUGUCUCUCCGUCUCGGGGAGACUCGCCUUAAAACAAUUGGCAGCCGGCCUACUGGUUUCGGAGCGCAGCACAAAUUUGCGCUUGCAAUCAGCCAAGGGCGGCAUCCAUGAAGCCUUUUUUCUCUCACAUUUUGACCUCGGAUCAGGUAGGGAUACCCGCUGAACUUAAGCAUAUCAAUAAGGCGGGAGAGAAAUCAUGGGUCCCCAGGCUGA